UAAGAGCUAGGUUAUGAAGGCAGGGGGGUCUCCUAGAUGAAGGCUGCUUCCAGAGGAGAAGUGUUUCGUAGCCGGAAACCGUACCACCAGUUGAGUUUCCCAACAAGCCGGGUCAUUCUUCAUGCCUUAUGGGAUCAAGAUGUCUGGCUGAAUAGUAGAGAAAUUCUCACGUAGUAACAGCUGCUAUGGUCAGCCAGAUGAGUGAUUCUGAGCCUUUACCAAGAAUUUCUAAAAUAGCUAUAUCAUCUACUGAAGUAAAAUAAGUUGGGAGGAACUCGAAUAAUACAUCUGUGAAGGGAAAGGAGUUUAUCACCUCGGGAAAGGUGACUGUUUUCAUCCUGGCACUUUCCUUUAAGAAGCCGCCAUGGUGUAGACUCAUUUCAGUGAUGCUAUUACCUGUCUUCUCUUCAGUGCUGAUCCUUCCUACAACUCUUGUUUUGUGGUCUGAAUACACGGAUUCUUGUUCAGAUGCUGCACCCCUAAUUCAACACAUAGAAUUCUGUAUCCUGCAUAGAUAAAGCAUCCUUGUAACUAUGGAACUGAAUUGUGCCUUAAAGAACACAUAGUGUUUAUGGGGAGCUGGGACUUUCAUUAAGCUUACAUCCUGCCUACAGCAGUUUUUAAAAGAUGAAAGAUUCUUUAAUAGGGUUCUUUCCAUUUUUGACUGUUCCACAGCGUGAGUCUGCAAGAAGUGAUACCUUAACAUAUGUGGAAUGGUCCUGCUUCGCAGACCAUUAUUUUUUCUUAUCUCUCAGGAUGUUAGAUGAGUAAAGUCACAACUCUCUCUUCUAAGAUGAAAGUUACGCUGCUAGAGGUUAAAUAUAGCUUUUUAUUACUGCUGUUAGUUUUGUUUUACUAAGAAGAGAAGGAAUCAUAAAGCAAAAACCAGGUAUUUUGUUGGCAGGUACCCUGAGGAGAUGGUAGAUAAGUUCAGUGUUUUCUUUAGAUUCUAAUAGUGUCUGGAAGUCCUCCACAUUGAAGGCAAGUAAUAGCCAUUUCUGACUGCCAGUAGAAAAUAGCAUGCAAUUUAUUUAUAAAUAAAAAUAUACAAUUCUAAUAAUUUAAUUCCCAUCUCGGAAAUGUUUCCUUCUUGCCUGCCUUAACACUGGGUCAAGAAUCAAGCUUCCAGUACAUUUCUCUCUCAUUUAUUAUCCAGACUUUUAUCUCACUAUGCAAUAACAACUAGCUUAAUUUCCCCUAGGCACCCAUAUAAGCUUUUAUGUUAGAAAAGUUCAAUUGUUGCAUCUUCAGAUCCUUUCUGAAUGCCAUUGUAUUUUCUCCUCAAACUGCAACUGAGAAGCAUAGCUUGUAGAAAAAAUGUGGGAAAGAUAGGAACAUUUCAUUUCAACCUCUUGAUGCAAUAUUUCAUAUCUCUCAUGUUGAUGUAGCUCAACAAAUUGUUUAUUAAAUUUCUUUUCCAAAGGGCAAACUUGGGACUUCAUUUCCAAGAAAUUAUAAACUGCUCUGAAAUGCUGCAACAUUAUACUGGAAAGCUUUUUUUUCUUUUUUCUUUUUUCUUUUUUUU
Molecule: non-coding RNA, 1525 nt
Organism: Meleagris gallopavo (turkey)
Lineage: Eukaryota; Metazoa; Chordata; Aves; Galliformes; Phasianidae
Source: RefSeq, a predicted model, not a curated record